This 415-nucleotide ribosomal RNA is filed under the name Streptomyces sp. MBT26. RNAcentral's name for it is "bacterial SSU rRNA". It matches the Rfam family "Bacterial small subunit ribosomal RNA", at positions 99 to 527 of the family's 1533-position model. Lineage: Bacteria; Bacillati; Actinomycetota; Actinomycetes; Kitasatosporales; Streptomycetaceae. The record is from RNAcentral.
GCGACGGGUGAGUACACGUGGGCAAUCUGCCCUUCACUCUGGGACAAGCCCUGGAAACGGGGUCUAAUACCGGAUAAUACUUUCUCUCUCCUGGGGGAAGGUUGAAAGCUCCGGCGGUGAAGGAUGAGCCCGCGGCCUAUCAGCUAGUUGGUGGGGUAAUGGCCUACCAAGGCGACGACGGGUAGCCGGCCUGAGAGGGCGACCGGCCACACUGGGACUGAGACACGGCCCAGACUCCUACGGGAGGCAGCAGUGGGGAAUAUUGCACAAUGGGCGAAAGCCUGAUGCAGCGACGCCGCGUGAGGGAUGACGGCCUUCGGGUUGUAAACCUCUUUCAGCAGGGAAGAAGCGAAAGUGACGGUACCUGCAGAAGAAGCGCCGGCUAACUACGUGCCAGCAGCCGCGGGGUAAUACG